UACGUAGGGGGCUAGCGUUGUCCGGAAUCAUUGGGCGUAAAGCGCGUGUAGGCGGUCCGGUAAGUCCGCUGUGAAAGUCGGGGGCUCAACCCUCGAAAGCCGGUGGAUACUGUUGGGCUAGAGUACGGAAGAGGCGAGUGGAACUCCUGGUGUAGCGGUGAAAUGCGCAGAUAUCAGGAGGAACACCAAUUGCGAAGGCAGCUCGCUGGGACGUUACUGACGCUGAGACGCGAAAGCGUGGGGAGCAAACAGG
This 253-nucleotide ribosomal RNA is filed under the name uncultured bacterium. Its description in RNAcentral is "partial 16S ribosomal RNA". It matches the Rfam family "Bacterial small subunit ribosomal RNA", at positions 524 to 776 of the family's 1533-position model. The record is from RNAcentral.